Molecule: ribosomal RNA, 892 nt
Filed under: uncultured bacterium
Lineage: Bacteria
Description: bacterial SSU rRNA
Rfam family: Bacterial small subunit ribosomal RNA
Source: RNAcentral
AGAGUUUGAUCCUGGCUCAGGAUGAACGCUGGCGGCGUGCCUAAUACAUGCAAGUCGAGCGAACCACUUCGGUGGUGAGCGGCGAACGGGUGAGUAACACGUAGGUGAUCUGCCCAUCAGACGGGGACAACGAUUGGAAACGAUCGCUAAUACCGGAUAGGACGAAAGUUUAAAGGUGCUUCUGGCACCGCUGAUGGAUGAGCCUGCGGCGCAUUAGCUAGUUGGUAGGGUAAAGGCCUACCAAGGCGACGAUGCGUAGCCGACCUGAGAGGGUGAACGGCCACACUGGGACUGAGACACGGCCCAGACUCCUACGGGAGGCAGCAGUAGGGAAUCUUCGGCAAUGGGCGAAAGCCUGACCGAGCAACGCCGCGUGAAUGAUGAAGGCCUUCGGGUUGUAAAAUUCUGUUAUAAGGGAAGAACGACUUUAGUAGGAAAUGGCUAGAGUGUGACGGUACCUUAUGAGAAAGCCACGGCUAACUACGUGCCAGCAGCCGCUGUAAUACGUAGGUGGCGAGCGUUAUCCGGAAUUAUUGGGCGUAAAGAGCGCGCAGGUGGUUGAUUAAGUCUGAUGUGAAAGCCCGCGGCUUAACCGUGGAGGGUCAUUGGAAACUGGUCGACUUGAGUGCAGAAGAGGGAAGUGGAAUUCCAUGUGUAGCGGUGAAAUGCGUAGAGAUAUGGAGGAACACCAGUGGCGAAGGCGGCUUCCUGGUCUGUAACUGACACUGAGGCGCGAAAGCGUGGGGAGCAAACAGGAUUAGAUACCCUGGUAGUCCACGCCGUAAACGAUGAGUGCUAAGUGUUGGGGGUCGAACCUCAGUGCUGAAGUUAACGCAUUAAGCACUCCGCCUGGGGAGUACGGUCGCAGACUGAAACUCAAAUGAAUUGACGG